This 468-nucleotide ribosomal RNA is filed under the name uncultured bacterium. Its description in RNAcentral is "partial 16S ribosomal RNA". It matches the Rfam family "Bacterial small subunit ribosomal RNA", at positions 28 to 507 of the family's 1533-position model. The record is from RNAcentral.
GACGAACGCUGGCGGCGUGCUUAACACAUGCAAGUCGAACGGAAAGGCCCUGCUUUUGUGGGGUGCUCGAGUGGCGAACGGGUGAGUAACACGUGAGUAGCCUGCCCUUGACUUUGGGAUAACUUCAGGAAACUGGGGCUAAUACCGGAUAGGAGCUCCUGCUGCAUGGUGGGGGUUGGAAAGAUUCGGCGGUUGGGGAUGGACUCGCGGCUUAUCAGCUUGUUGGUGGGGUAGUGGCUGACCAAGGCUUUGACGGGUAGCCGGCCUGAGAGGGUGACCGGCCACAUGGGGACUGAGAGACGGCCCAGACGGCUACGGGAGGCAGAAGUGGGGAAUAUUGCAGAAUGGGCGGAAGCCUGAUGCAGCAACGCCGCGUGCGGGAUGACGGCCUUCGGGUUGUAAACCGCUUUCGCCUGUGACGAAGCGUGAGUGACGGUAAUGGGUAAAGAAGCACCGGCUAACUACGUG